Molecule: unclassified non-coding RNA, 200 nt
Filed under: soil metagenome
Description: partial contains internal transcribed spacer 2 and large subunit ribosomal RNA
Source: RNAcentral
CGGCUUGUUUGUUGGACCGUACACCGACUUUCAACCGUUGGUGGGCCCGAAAGAUAAUGGCAGAGUCGGUCGGACCCUGGAUGCAGCGAGCUCUAUUUUCAGCACGCAUCACGGCGGUCCCCGGGCUCGGUCUUAACCGGAUCUUCGAUCCACUUCUUAUGGUUGACCUCGGAUCAGGUAGGGAUACCCGCUGAACUUAA